UUCGCAAUGCCCGAAAGGGUGACGAAGCGACGCCGCGUGUGGGAAGAAGGCCUUCGGGUUGUAAACCACUGUCGGGAGUUAAGAAAUGCAAGGAUAUGAAUAGUGUCUUUGCUUGACUAAGGCUCCGGAGGAAGCCACGGCUAACUCCGUGCCAGCAGCCGCGGUAAUACAGAGGCGGCAAGCGUUGUUCGGAAUUAUUGGGCGUAAAGAGCACGUAGGCGGCUAUGUAAGUCGGUUGUGAAAGCCUUCCGCUCAACGGGAGAACAGCAUCCGAUACUACAUGGCUUGAGUGCGGGAGGGGAGAGUGGAACUUCUGGUGGAGCGGUGAAAUGCGUAGAUAUCAGAAGGAACGCCGGCGGCGAAAGCGGCUCUCUGGCCCAUAACUGACGCUGAGUGUGCGAAAGCUAGGGGAGCAAACGGGAUUAGAUACCCCGGUAGUCCUAGCCGUAAACGAUGGGCACUAAGUAGAGGGGUUUU
This 477-nucleotide ribosomal RNA is filed under the name uncultured bacterium. RNAcentral's name for it is "bacterial SSU rRNA". It matches the Rfam family "Bacterial small subunit ribosomal RNA", at positions 365 to 832 of the family's 1533-position model. The record is from RNAcentral.